UGUCAGACUACACACAGUGUUGGAAGUUGAAACAUCCAAAGUGGCUCUGUGCACCAGGCUGGAUGUAGCGCAUCGUGGAAAGGAAAAGUUUCAGAUAUGUAGCUGCCCCUUCAGAUUCUUAUCUUUCUACGUCAUCCUUAGUAUAUUGAAGAAGAAAUACACAUUGCUGGUUGUAGACGGGUGAUUGGCCAUCUGGGUAGAAGACCUCAGAGCGCUGCCUCUGCUUACAGCUUGCAGUAGAUUUUCCUCAAAAGUAUCAGACACUUGGUAAUUUGAUCAGACAGACCCAAUCUCCAAAAGGAUCUUCAUUCAACUUCGAGUGCCUACUAUAAAGGGUGUGCGGUCACCUGUGUAAAAUGGAAGCGAAUGAGAAGAGCACUCUUAUUUAGUGAGAAGGUGCAGAAUGGAAUCUUCGGUUAUCUAUUCUACAACACCACAGCCUGGCUCUGGCAUUCAUUAUGAGGAGUUCACGGUGAAUCUAGAGGAUGUGUUCCGGCAUCAUAGUCGGGCGUGUAAGAGUGCCACCGAAGCCGUUCAGGUCUGUGGACAAAGAGGCAGAGGUCUUCAGGGAAGAAUAGAAUGACAGACGGGUAGCAAAUCUUUGAUGCUUCGUUCUUAACUCGAGACCGGAAUCAUGAGAGCUUUUGAAGCGGAGGGUUAAAAUAAAAGUCUCUGCAACUCGGUUAUCUGAAUCCCUGAAAAGAAAUCUCUGCAACUCUGCAAGAUGAUGGGUGGAUUCACUAUAUGAAGACUCAAGAAGCACCCUUGGAACAUUUUACAUUCAAGGUAAUCACACUCACAGUGCUGCCCAUGUAGCAAGUACAGCAGCUUCAGGUCAUACAUCUGAACACGAGGUGUCGGGCUCCUGGUACUCUGAGUGCAGCACCAGUUAAUACAAAGCAGUUCGGGGAUUCAGGUUUCCAUCCUUGCAGCUCAUAUGUGAUGUCUAAGAUUUAGGUUCAACCAGGGUGCUUGACUAAAAGUGCGGCAUCUUUUUUUCCGCCCACUAAGGUUGCGAAUCUAAAUGAAAUUACUGAAGGGUAUGACCUUACCUGAAUAUUAUUGUUCAUCCUUCAAGGCAGCUGCUCCGUAGCCAGAAGGACCUUUAG
Molecule: long non-coding RNA, 1109 nt
Organism: Lolium rigidum
Lineage: Eukaryota; Viridiplantae; Streptophyta; Magnoliopsida; Poales; Poaceae
Exons: 5
Source: RefSeq, a predicted model, not a curated record